AUUGAACGCUGGCGGCAUGCCUAACACAUGCAAGUCGGGCGGAGCGGCGGACGGGUGAGUUAUGUAUAGUGAUCUGCCUGCUGGAGGGGGAUAACUACUGGAAACGGUAGCUAAUACCGCAUACUGUCAGAUGAACCUAGGUCGGAUUAGCUAGUUGGGGGGGUAAUGGCCUACCAAGGCGACGAUCAGUAACUGGUCUGAGAGGAUGAUGAGUCACACUGGAACUGAGACACGGUCCAGACUCCUAAGGGAGGCAGCGGUGGGGAAUAUUGGACAAGGGGCGAAAGCCUGUUCCAGCCAUGCCGCGUGUGUGAAGAAGGUCUUCGGAUUGUAAAGCACUUUAAGUUGGGAGGCGUUACCAACAGAAUAAGCACCGGCUAACUUCGUGCCAGCAGCCGCGGUAAUAC
RNAcentral lists this ribosomal RNA (407 nucleotides) under uncultured bacterium. RNAcentral describes it as "partial 16S ribosomal RNA". It matches the Rfam family "Bacterial small subunit ribosomal RNA", at positions 30 to 526 of the family's 1533-position model. The record is from RNAcentral.